UCUGGGUAAACUGCUCAUGUGGACCCGGAAUGAACAUUUCUAAUGGAUGGCUCUUCCUCGUCAAAGCUAACUCGUUUGAAGCCCAGUAUCCAGCACAAUCCAAUACUUGAGAUAACAAAAGUUAUUAGUGGUUGUAUUUGAUCGCUCCGAUCAAUCUUUGAUUGUUCAUCCAAACCAUGAUACUUUGGAUCGAACAAUUCUGCUUGCCAAAGUCCGGGAUAGAUUCGAACAAUAACAAUAUGCUCUUUGAUAACACAUGGAACAAUGAUCUG
Molecule: long non-coding RNA, 272 nt
Filed under: Salvia miltiorrhiza (redroot sage)
Lineage: Eukaryota; Viridiplantae; Streptophyta; Magnoliopsida; Lamiales; Lamiaceae
Description: long non-coding RNA (SMIL_LNC013099)
Source: RNAcentral